UAUUUCUCCGUACGGGGAAGGAUGAGAAGCUUCGACUAAGGUUCGAUUCGAGCGCAGCGAGAAAGCGUUGCCGCAGGCAACGACCCGAAGGGUGAGGAGCGGAGCGACGAAUAAUCCUUCCCCCACC
RNAcentral lists this small RNA (127 nucleotides) under Salmonella enterica. Its description in RNAcentral is "partial RtT sRNA". It matches the Rfam family "RtT RNA". Rfam says of the family: This family represents a bacterial cis-regulatory element known as RtT RNA. The exact function of RtT is unknown although it is thought that it may be involved in changing the cellular response in relation to amino acid starvation. The record is from RNAcentral. Lineage: Bacteria; Pseudomonadati; Pseudomonadota; Gammaproteobacteria; Enterobacterales; Enterobacteriaceae.